This 386-nucleotide long non-coding RNA is filed under the name Salvia miltiorrhiza (redroot sage). RNAcentral's name for it is "long non-coding RNA (SMIL_LNC009240)". Lineage: Eukaryota; Viridiplantae; Streptophyta; Magnoliopsida; Lamiales; Lamiaceae. The record is from RNAcentral.
AACGGAGAAACUAAUUGGUAAAGUUAGGGAGCGUGGCUCCCGGUUCACAAGUCUUGGCGGCGGGGGUGGGCUCCACGUGGAGCGCGGGCGGCACCGGCUGGGCGAGCAGCUCCGGCGGCAGGUCGGGGAUGCCCUUGAGGUGGAAGGUAUAGAAGAGUUUGAAGGGGAAGAUGAUCUGGUGGAGCUUGACGUGGCCGUAGACGCCCUCGAAGACGCCGGAGCCGCCGGUGACGGCGAGCUCGGUGUCUUGGUAGGUGAGGUAGGGCCCCUGCACGGCGAUGUGGCCGUAGUCGCCCAAGUAGAAGCUGUAGAUGGCCUCGUACCGGUCGCCCUUCUUCUCUGCUUCGUUCUUUAUCAGGAUGCAUAUCCCCGCCGUUAUUCCAGCC